Molecule: small RNA, 120 nt
Filed under: unclassified sequences
Description: LOOT RNA
Rfam family: LOOT RNA
About the family: Latescibacteria, OD1/Parcubacteria, OP11, TM7. Lineage (Microgenomates, aka OP11)
Source: Rfam by way of RNAcentral
UGCCUAACCCGUAGCCUUCCGUUACGGUAUGGCUUAAACCCACCACAGUAGAGACCUCCUCGUUAGGAGCACCUGUGGUGGGUCCCAUCUCGAAAGGGAUGGUGGGUGGCGCAAGCCAUC